CCUACGGGUGGCAGCAGUGGGGAAUAUUGCACAAUGGGGGAAACCCUGAUGCAGCGACGCCGCGUGAGUGAAGAAGUAAUUCGGUAUGUAAAGCUCUAUCAGCAGGGAAGAAACAGACGGUACCUGAGUAAGAAGCCCCGGCUAACUACGUGCCAGCAGCCGCGGUAAUACGUAGGGGGCAAGCGUUAUCCGGAUUUACUGGGUGUAAAGGGAGCGUAGACGGCGCUGCAAGUCUGAAGUGAAAGCCCGCGGCUUAACCGCGGUACUGCUUUGGAAACUUUGGUGCUGGAGUGCCGGAGAGGCAGGCGGAAUUCCUAGUGUAGCGGUGAAAUGCGUAGAUAUUAGGAGGAACACCAGCGGCGAAGGCGGCUUACUGGACGGUAACUGACGUUGAGGCUCGAAAGCGUGGGGAGCAAACAGGAUUAGAUACCCGGGUAGUC
RNAcentral lists this ribosomal RNA (440 nucleotides) under uncultured bacterium. RNAcentral's name for it is "partial 16S ribosomal RNA". It matches the Rfam family "Bacterial small subunit ribosomal RNA", at positions 338 to 795 of the family's 1533-position model. The record is from RNAcentral.